GAUGCGUGGCGAAACGGCAAACGCGGCAACCUGCAGGGUUGUUGGCCCAACUAAAUGGGUCUUGCGGGUUCAACUCCCGCCCGCGUCUCCA
Molecule: transfer RNA, 91 nt
Filed under: Patescibacteria group bacterium
Lineage: Bacteria
Description: tRNA-Cys
Rfam family: tRNA
About the family: Transfer RNA (tRNA) molecules are approximately 80 nucleotides in length. Their secondary structure includes four short double-helical elements and three loops (D, anti-codon, and T loops).
Source: RNAcentral